CUACGUGCCAGCAGCCGCGGUAAUACGUAGGGGGCAAGCGUUAUCCGGAUUCAUUGGGCGUAAAGCGCUCGUAGGCGGUCUGUUAGGUCGGGAGUUAAAUCCGGGGGCUCAACCCCCGUUCGCUCCCGAUACCGGCAGACUUGAGUUUGGUAGGGGAAGGUGGAAUUCCUAGUGUAGCGGUGGAAUGCGCAGAUAUUAGGAAGAACACCAGUGGCGAAGGCGGCCUUCUGGGCCAUAACUGACGCUGAGGAGCGAAAGCUAGGGGAGCAAACAGGAUUAGAUACCCUGGUAGUCCUAGCCGUAAACGAUGGACACUAGGUGUGGGGGAAUAUUUCUUCCGUGCCGCAGCUAACGCAUUAAGUGUCCCGCCUGGGGAGUACGGCCGCAAGGCUAAAACUCAAAGGAAUUGACGGGGGCCCGCACAAGCAGCGGAGCAUGUGGUUUAAUUCGAUGCAACGCGAAGAACCUUACCUACUCUUGACAUCCAGAGAACAUUC
RNAcentral lists this ribosomal RNA (497 nucleotides) under uncultured bacterium. RNAcentral describes it as "bacterial SSU rRNA". It matches the Rfam family "Bacterial small subunit ribosomal RNA", at positions 501 to 1000 of the family's 1533-position model. The record is from RNAcentral.